RNAcentral lists this transfer RNA (73 nucleotides) under Gammaproteobacteria bacterium. RNAcentral's name for it is "tRNA-Thr". It matches the Rfam family "tRNA". Rfam says of the family: Transfer RNA (tRNA) molecules are approximately 80 nucleotides in length. Their secondary structure includes four short double-helical elements and three loops (D, anti-codon, and T loops). The record is from RNAcentral. Lineage: Bacteria; Pseudomonadati; Pseudomonadota; Gammaproteobacteria.
GCCGGAAUAGCUCAGUUGGUAGAGCAACGCAUUCGUAACGCGUAGGUCAGAGGUUCGAUUCCUCUUUCCGGCA